UUGGUAGGGUAAAGGCGUACCACGGGGACGAUGGGUAGCCGACCUGAGAGGGUGAUCUGCCACACUGGGAGUGAGACACGGCCCAGAAUCUUACGGGAGGCAGCAGUGGGGAAUAUUGCACACAGGAGGGAACUCCGAUGCAGCAACGCCGCGUGAGUGAAGAAGGUUUUUGGAUUGUAAAAAUCUGUCAUUGCGGAAGAAUAAAUGACGGUACCCAAUGAGGAAGCCCCGGCUAACUACGUGCCAGCAGCCGCGGUAAUACGUAGGGGGCGAGCGUUGUCCGGAAUUACUGGGCGUAAAGGGUACGUAGGCGGCUAUAUAAGUCAGGUGUGAAAUACCAGUGCUUAACCCUGGAAUUGCAUUUGAAACUGUGUAGCUUGAGUGCAGGAGAGGAAAGUGGAAUUCCUAGUGUAGCGGUGAAAUGCGUAGAGAUUAGGAGGAACACCAGUGGCGAAGGCGACUUUCUGGACUGUAACUGACGCUGAGGUACGAAAGCGUGGGUAGCGAACAGGAUUAGAUACCCUGGUAGUCCACGCCGUAAACGAUGGAUACUAGGUGUACGGGGGUAUCAUGACCCCCCGGU
RNAcentral lists this ribosomal RNA (583 nucleotides) under uncultured bacterium. RNAcentral describes it as "bacterial SSU rRNA". It matches the Rfam family "Bacterial small subunit ribosomal RNA", at positions 249 to 844 of the family's 1533-position model. The record is from RNAcentral.